This 251-nucleotide ribosomal RNA is filed under the name uncultured bacterium. RNAcentral describes it as "partial 16S ribosomal RNA". It matches the Rfam family "Bacterial small subunit ribosomal RNA", at positions 80 to 334 of the family's 1533-position model. The record is from RNAcentral.
UAACUCCGCCGGCGACCGGCGCACGGGUGCGUAACGCGUAUGCAACCUACCUUUAACAGGGGCAUAACACUGAGAAAUUGGUACUAAUUCCCCAUAACAUUCGAGAAGGCAUCUUCUUGGGUUAAAAACUCCGGUGGUUAAAGAUGGGCAUGCGUUGUAUUAGCUAGUUGGUGAGGUAACGGCUCACCAAGGCAACGAUACAUAGGGGGACUGAGAGGUUAACCCCCCACAUUGGACUGAGACACGGCCAA